AGAAAUUUAGGUUAACCACAAACCAAGGGCCUUCAAAGCCCUAAACAGGAAAAAUCCUCCUAAUUUCUG
Molecule: transfer RNA, 69 nt
Filed under: Geckolepis sp. EEG-2007-1
Lineage: Eukaryota; Metazoa; Chordata; Lepidosauria; Squamata; Gekkonidae
Description: tRNA-Trp
Source: RNAcentral